ACUCUAAGCGGUGGAUCACUCGGCUCAUGGGUCGAUGAAGAACGCAGCAAACUGUGCGUCAUCGUGUGAACUGCAGGACACAUGAACAUCGACAUUUUGAACGCAUAUCGCAGUCCAUGCUGUUAUGUACUUUAAUUAAUUUUAUAGUGCUGCUUGGACUACAUAUGGUUGAGGGUUGUAAGACUAUGCUAAUUAAGUUGCUUAUAAAUUUUUAUAAGCAUAUGGUAUAUUAUUGGAUAAAUAUAAUAAUUUUUAUUCAUAAUAUUAAAAAAUAAAUGAAAAACAUUAUCUCACAUUUGAAUGUGAAAAACGAAGAGAAAUAUUUUCUUUUUCAAUCAAAUAAUACUGAGAAAUGUCUAGCAUAAAAAAUUGAAAUAUUUUUCAUCUAGAAUUGUCUCUUAUUAAUGAUUCGGAAAUAGAAAAAUCUUGGUUAUGUUAUUAUUCUUCGUUGGUUCGUUAAAAAUGGAUAAAUAAAAACUUUGCAUACAAGAAUUAAUAAAAAUGUUAUAACGAAUUUAAUUAAAUGUUUUAUCAUUAUAUAUAAAGAAUUUAUGGCAAGAUAAAGUUAUAUACAACCUCAACUCAUAUGGGACUACCCCCUGAAUUUAAGCAUAUUAAUUAGGGGAGGAAAAGAAACUAACAAGGAUUUUCUUAGUAGCGGCGAGCGAAAAGAAAACAGUUCAGCACUAAGUCACUUUGUCUAUAUGGCAAAUGUGAGAUGCAGUGUAUGGAGCGUCAAUAUUCUAGUAUGAGAAAUUAACGAUUUAAGUCCUUCUUAAAUGAGGCCAUUUACCCAUAGAGGGUGCCAGGCCCGUAUAACGUUAAUGAUUACUAGAUGAUGUUUCCAAAGAGUCGUGUUGCUUGAUAGUGCAGCACUAAGUGGGUGGUAAACUCCAUCUAAAACUAAAUAUAACCAUGAGACCGAUAGUAAACAAGUACCGUGAGGGAAAGUUGAAAAGAACUCUGAAUAGAGAGUUAAACAGUACGUGAAACUGCUUAGAGGUUAAGCCCGAUGAACCUGAAUAUCCGUUAUGGAAAAUUCAUCAUUAAAAUUGUAAUAUUUAAAUAAUAUUAUGAGAAUAGUGUGCAUUUUUUCCAUAUAAGGACAUUGUAAUCUAUUAGCAUAUACCAAAUUUAUCAUAAAAUAUAACUUAUAGUUUAUUCCAAUUAAAUUGCUUGCAUUUUAACACAGAAUAAAUGUUAUUAAUUUGAUAAAGUGCUGAUAGAUUUAUAUGAUUACAGUGCGUUAAUUUUUCGGAAUUAUAUAAUGGCAUAAUUAUCAUUGAUUUUUGUGUUUAUUAUAUGCACUUGUAUGAUUAACAAUGCGAAAGAUUCAGGAUACCUUCGGGACCCGUCUUGAAACACGGACCAAGGAGUCUAACAUAUGUGCAAGUUAUUGGGAUAUAAACCUAAUAGCGUAAUUAACUUGACUAAUAAUGGGAUUAGUUUUUUAGCUAUUUAUAGCUAAUUAACACAAUCCCGGGGCGUUCUAUAUAGUUAUGUAUAAUGUAUAUUUAUAUUAUUUAUGCCUCUAACUGGAACGUACCUUGAGCAUAUAUGCUGUGACCCGAAAGAUGGUGAACUAUACUUGAUCAGGUUGAAGUCAGGGGAAACCCUGAUGGAAGACCGAAACAGUUCUGACGUGCAAAUCGAUUGUCAGAAUUGAGUAUAGGGGCGAAAGACCAAUCGAACCAUCUAGUAGCUGGUUCCUUCCGAAGUUUCCCUCAGGAUAGCUGGUGCAUUUUAAUAUUAUAUAAAAUAAUCUUAUCUGGUAAAGCGAAUGAUUAGAGGCCUUAGGGUCGAAACGAUCUUAACCUAUUCUCAAACUUUAAAUGGGUAAGAACCUUAACUUUCUUGAUAUGAAGUUCAAGGUUAUGAUAUAAUGUGCCCAGUGGGCCACUUUUGGUAAGCAGAACUGGCGCUGUGGGAUGAACCAAACGUAAUGUUACGGUGCCCAAAUUAACAACUCAUGCAGAUACCAUGAAAGGCGUUGGUUGCUUAAAACAGCAGGACGGUGAUCAUGGAAGUCGAAAUCCGCUAAGGAGUGUGUAACAACUCACCUGCCGAAGCAACUAGCCCUUAAAAUGGAUGGCGCUUAAGUUGUAUACCUAUACAUUACCGCUAAAGUAGAUGAUUUAUAUUACUUGUGAUAUAAAUUUUGAAACUUUAGUGAGUAGGAAGGUACAAUGGUAUGCGUAGAAGUGUUUGGCGUAAGCCUGCAUGGAGCUGCCAUUGGUACAGAUCUUGGUGGUAGUAGCAAAUAAUCGAAUGAGACCUUGGAGGACUGAAGUGGAGAAGGGUUUCGUGUGAACAGUGGUUGAUCACGAGUUAGUCGGUCCUAAGUUCAAGGCGAAAGCCGAAAAUUUUCAAGUAAAACAAAAAUGCCUAACUAUAUAAACAAAGCGAAUUAUAAUACACUUGAAUAAUUUUGAACGAAAGGGAAUACGGUUCCAAUUCCGUAACCUGUUGAGUAUCCGUUUGUUAUUAAAUAUGGGCCUCGUGCUCAUCCUGGCAACAGGAACGACCAUAAAGAAGCCGUCGAGAGAUAUCGGAAGAGUUUUCUUUUCUGUUUUAUAGCCGUACUACCAUGGAAGUCUUUCGCAGAGAGAUAUGGUAGAUGGGCU
RNAcentral lists this ribosomal RNA (2624 nucleotides) under Drosophila melanogaster (fruit fly). RNAcentral describes it as "eukaryotic LSU rRNA". The stretch from base 573 to 2624 matches the Rfam family "Eukaryotic large subunit ribosomal RNA", at positions 1 to 1756 of the family's 3401-position model. The record is from RNAcentral. Lineage: Eukaryota; Metazoa; Arthropoda; Insecta; Diptera; Drosophilidae.